This 638-nucleotide long non-coding RNA is filed under the name Pan troglodytes (chimpanzee). RNAcentral's name for it is "long non-coding RNA NONPTRT003878". The record is from RNAcentral. Lineage: Eukaryota; Metazoa; Chordata; Mammalia; Primates; Hominidae.
CAGGGGAUGGGGCAUCAGGGUGCUGGAUGAGAAUCUGGCUCUGCUCUGGGCGGGCUGUCACCAUGGUGCUGGCAGUACCCACCACCAUUCCACAACCACCAUUGAUUGAGGAGACUUGGUGCUGGUUAUACAGACUACUGACUUCGUGAAAAUUCAGAAAUCAAAAUAAUUCCUGAAUCUGCUGGCCACUGGAGAGCUGUGAACACUUUCUCUGCCAACAAGGAUUACCCAAUUACCAAAAGCAAACAAAGACAAACUGGCUAUUCAAGUACUGCAAACCAGAUAGGAAAGAUUAUUAAACUAAUACUCCCCUGGAAGAACAAGAGGACUAAUUUUCGGUGACGACAGACUUGUGCUGAUCCAUCAUCUGGAACUCCUAAAGACCUGAAUGGCUGACUGGGAUUAGUGACUACUAUCUGGUUUUACUGGUUUUACUCUACUAAGCCCAUGAUUUUGUGUUUUAACCAAUUAAGAAAAUUAUCCCAAAGCACAAUAAAAAUAGCCUAGGUCUGAAUACCACCAGUUUUUUGGCAACAGUCCUGCUUCUUGCCUUUUUCUCAUCCUCAUCUGCAGCUUUCUUGAAUUCAUGUUCAAAGGAGCUAGCUAGUUCAUUGAAGAGUCCCACCUCCUCACAGUUC